RNAcentral lists this long non-coding RNA (215 nucleotides) under Elaeis guineensis (African oil palm). RNAcentral describes it as "long non-coding RNA (EGUI_LNC014276)". The record is from RNAcentral. Lineage: Eukaryota; Viridiplantae; Streptophyta; Magnoliopsida; Arecales; Arecaceae.
ACUGCCUUCUUCAUCUCCUCAGCGCCUUUGCCUAGGCCUCUAAAGCCCAAAGCUUCUCCUCAAGCAAGAACUUCACUCAGUUGAACCCAAUGAGACUCUUGCCGAGGACAGUGAUAUCAUGGGCCAACUGCAGCAAAAAAAAAUAAGCCAAAAACUUCAGUCAAACAAUGAAAAGUAUUGUAGAUUUGUACCUCAGCCUCGGCUGUGAUAUUCUC